UAUUUGGAUGGUAUUAAUCAAACUUUAAAU
RNAcentral lists this non-coding RNA (30 nucleotides) under Rattus norvegicus (Norway rat). Lineage: Eukaryota; Metazoa; Chordata; Mammalia; Rodentia; Muridae. The record is from RNAcentral.